This 231-nucleotide ribosomal RNA is filed under the name uncultured bacterium. RNAcentral describes it as "partial 16S ribosomal RNA". It matches the Rfam family "Bacterial small subunit ribosomal RNA", at positions 118 to 347 of the family's 1533-position model. The record is from RNAcentral.
UGAGCAAUCUGCCCUUCUCUUUGGAAUAAGCGUUGGAAACGACGUCUAAUGCCGAAUACGACCUCCUUUCGCAUGAUCGGAGGUGGAAAGCUCCGGCGGAGAAGGAUGAGCUCGCGGCCUAUCAGCUAGUUGGUGUGGGUAAUGGCCCACAAGGCGACGACGGGUAGCCGGCCUGAGAGGGUGACCGGCCACACUGGGACUGAGACACGGCCCAGACCUCCGUACGGGAGG